ACAUCCAAGAUGGCGUCCCCAGGAGCUGGGAGCGGGUGACCGGCGGCGGGGAAGCGGCCUGGGUUGGCCCUCAGAUUGCGGGGUCUGGGGGCAUCUCGCCGGGCAAACCCUUGGCCCGCCUACAAGGACUUCCCCCGGCCAGAGCAAUGGCCGCUGAGAACAGCAAGCAGUUUUGGAAGAGGAGCGCUAAGCUGCCGGGGAGGCUGGAGUGCAGUGGCCCGAUCUCCGCUCACUGCAACUUCCGCCUCCCGGGUUCAAGCGAUUCUCCUGCCUUGGCCUCCCGAGUAGCUGGGACUACAGAUGCGUGCCACCACACCCAGCUAAUUUUCUUGUAUUUUCAGUAGAGAUGGGGUUUCACCAUUUUGGCCAGGAUAGUCUUGAUCUCCUGACCUCAUGACCCACCCACCUUGGCCUCCCAAAGUGCUGGGAUUACAGGCGUGAGCCACUAUGACCGGCCUAACACUUUUUUUCUUAAAUGAAAUGUGACAAAUGUUAACAUUUGUAAAUCAGAGUGAUGGGUUUGUGGAUGUUUAUUAUAUCAUUUUCUGUACUUUUCUUUGUGUUUGAAAAUGUCAAUUAAAUGCUUUUUCACUUGUGUUAGA
This 602-nucleotide long non-coding RNA is filed under the name Homo sapiens (human). RNAcentral's name for it is "HSALNT0105664". Lineage: Eukaryota; Metazoa; Chordata; Mammalia; Primates; Hominidae. The record is from RNAcentral.